CACCGGCAGCUCUAGUGGUAGCAAUUUUUAUUGGGCCCUAAAGCGUCCGUAGCCGGUUUAAUAAGUCUCUGGUGAAAUCCUGUAGCUUAACUGUGGGAAUUGCUGGAGAUACUAUUAGACUUGAGACCGGGAGAGGUUAGAGGUACUCCCAGGGUAGAGGUGAAAUUCUGUAAUCCUGGGAGGACCGCCUGUUGCGAAGGCGUCUAACUGGAACGGUUCUGACGGUGAGGGACGAAAGUUAGGGGCGCGAACCGGAUUAGAUACCCGCGUAGUCCCUGAGCGGGCUGGCAAGG
RNAcentral lists this ribosomal RNA (293 nucleotides) under uncultured prokaryote. RNAcentral describes it as "partial 16S ribosomal RNA". It matches the Rfam family "Archaeal small subunit ribosomal RNA", at positions 474 to 771 of the family's 1478-position model. The record is from RNAcentral.